Molecule: ribosomal RNA, 253 nt
Filed under: uncultured bacterium
Lineage: Bacteria
Description: partial 16S ribosomal RNA
Rfam family: Bacterial small subunit ribosomal RNA
Source: RNAcentral
UACGUAGGGUGCAAGCGUUGUCCGGAAUUACUGGGCGUAAAGAGUUCGUAGGCGGUUUGUCGCGUCGUUUGUGAAAACCAGCAGCUCAACUGCUGGCUUGCAGGCGAUACGGGCAGACUUGAGUACUGCAGGGGAGACUGGAAUUCCUGGUGUAGCGGUGGAAUGCGCAGAUAUCAGGAGGAACACCGGUGGCGAAGGCGGCUACCUGGACCGGUUCUGACGCUGAUGCGCGAAAGCGUGGGUAGCAAACAGG